AUGCUUACUAGAGUGUUAGGGCACGAGACAAUAGGUAGGUUGCAGUGUUCAUUGUUACUAUUUCUUGAAUUUUCUCGUUUGUCUAAACUAUGUGUGGCCAAUUUUCAGUGAUGUGCGUUCCCCCUUGAUCUUUUUUAAUGAGAAAUGUCCUGUUUGAUGCAUUGUAGUAGUGUGGUUUGGUUUCUCAUUCCAAAGCAAAGCACACAUUGCAUUGAAAGUGCCAAGUUGUUUAUUGGAUGAUAUGUGUUUAGCUGCAAUCCUAAAUCUUUUCGUGUUUACUGUGUAGAGUUAGUGAGAUAAGUAUUAGAAUAUUUGAAGCAAUUGUGUGAACUACAUCACAGAAGCAAUUAUGUAAAUAGCAUCACAAGAGCAACCAUGUGAAGCAUCUUCUGUGACCCUUAUUUCAUCUCUAUAUUACAUAUAGAGAUGAAAUAGUUUUGAUAAAUGCUGACCCCAAUAAGUGGGCUUUCAGUAACAGUUAUAGCAGCGGGAAGAUGAUAAUGGACAUAAUUUUGUCUGCUAUCUCUCAUUUGUGAAGUAGGACAGUGCUUAACAUGAACGUCUGUUGUAUGGCAUAUGGGCAUACAGUAAUGUGUAUUUGCACCUAUACCUUUAUGUGAAAAAUUCGCUGACUUGGCAUGUCAUUCCAUGAUUGAUUUCGAUGAGCAUCUACGACUGACCCAGUAUAUUAAUUUGUAGUUGCUUCUACUCAUGCUGAUAAUUUCUUUGAGGAUGAUCUGAUGGUUGCUUUGUACCUGGUGACAGUUUUCUAUCAGUCUCCCUUAAUACACAUUAUCAGCAGCUCGGAGGAGUCUGAAGAACCUGUGUCAGGUAAACAGUAAAGUUGAGCAUCACUCUUUGCUGUUGUUUGUUAUAUAUAGCUUUGUUUAAAUCUUGUGACCGUUUGUGAUUUGUACAUUUUCGAAUUUGUUGAUUCUGAUCCUAAAUUGCUGUUUGGUCGAACCUUAUGUAAGCAUCUUAUUUUAUGUUCACUAUACUUUCCCAGAUUGUUUCAGAAGUUUGGCUUUUUAUUCUUUUCCCUUGAACCUGAGUUUGGCCUUUUAUAAUGAGCAUAGAUGGUGUUUAUUUUAUCUGUCUUUUGUCAUGAAUUGGCAAAUAGCUACACGCCGGAAAAUUUGUAGAAUUGUAGACAACUAAUUCCUGCAUAUUAUUUUUGCUACACGCCGGAAAAAUUGCGGAAUUGUGGACAACUAAUUCCUGCAUAUUAUUUUCAGGUUGGGAAAGAGCAACAGAGACUUGA
This 1261-nucleotide long non-coding RNA is filed under the name Prunus dulcis (almond). Its description in RNAcentral is "sRNA ncRNA". Lineage: Eukaryota; Viridiplantae; Streptophyta; Magnoliopsida; Rosales; Rosaceae. The record is from RNAcentral.